This 97-nucleotide non-coding RNA is filed under the name Actinotalea fermentans. Its description in RNAcentral is "SAM-I sequence". It matches the Rfam family "SAM riboswitch aptamer (S box leader)". Rfam says of the family: The SAM riboswitch is found upstream of a number of genes which code for proteins involved in methionine or cysteine biosynthesis in Gram-positive bacteria. The record is from Rfam by way of RNAcentral. Lineage: Bacteria; Bacillati; Actinomycetota; Actinomycetes; Micrococcales; Cellulomonadaceae.
GUCCCAUCACGAGCGGCCGAGAGACCUGGCUCCGCGACGCCGCAGCAACCCGCGCCUGUCCUGCGCGUGCGGGUGCUCCCACCAGGGACGAUGGAGC